Arabidopsis lyrata subsp. lyrata is the source of this 694-nucleotide long non-coding RNA. RefSeq lists it as uncharacterized. The transcript is spliced from 4 exons. The record is from RefSeq and is a predicted model, not a curated record. NCBI's taxonomy places the organism in Eukaryota, Viridiplantae, Streptophyta, Magnoliopsida, Brassicales, Brassicaceae.
GCACUAAAAAAAACAAAUUAGAAACAGUCAUACAGAUGCGCGCACACGAUGAAGGAGGCAGAGGAAAGCUAUUAGAGAGAUGGAGAAGAAGGAAACGAUUCAUUGUUGGAUCCGGAUAUGCUUGCCGCAGAUGAUGGCGUCAUUAAGAGCUUGAUGGGAUAAAGAGGAGAUUGAAAGAGAUGGAGGAAGAAGCUGAUGCGCUGCGCGAUAUGCAAGCCAAAGCCCAAAAAUAAAUGGAAGCUAUUCAAGGUAGGAUUGAAAAGCUUAUCAUGAUGGUGUUGAAUUCUUGUCGCUUCGCUCUGUUUCAGGUCGGACCUUCUUGAUCUUCUCCAUCAAGCUCCAGGAUUUAAUAAACGUUCAUACUUCAACAAAUGGAUACCUCAUAAGACAUGAUGAUUAAAUCAUGUAAAGAUGCUCAAGAGGAUUCACUUGAUAUAACCCCAUCGAAACAUCUUAUUUGGUUUCCGCUCAUAAGACUCGGUCUUUGGGGUGGAUCUGUUCAAGAGAAUACUCUCGGUGGUCAUCCAUCCAAUGUAGAAGUAGAUAGAAUUUGUUUUCAAAUUGAUUUUAGACAUACUUUUUGUCAAAUAAUUUGGCUUUAUAAUAUAUACUACAGUCUUAAAACUGAACAAUUACUUGUUCCAUACAUGUUUUUGUAAACAUAUGUUAGAUACUACAUCACUUGAUUAUUUCA